Bactrocera neohumeralis is the source of this 672-nucleotide long non-coding RNA. RefSeq lists it as uncharacterized. NCBI's taxonomy places the organism in Eukaryota, Metazoa, Arthropoda, Insecta, Diptera, Tephritidae. The record is from RefSeq and is a predicted model, not a curated record. The transcript is spliced from 2 exons.
UAACUUUUUUUUUUUUGCAAAUGCGUAAUUGACUUCUGUGGCAACUUUAGGCAAUAUCGAUAAGUUUUGCUCAUCCUUGUGUGUGUAUGAAAAAUAAAACGUGAUUAAAACCGUCAGGAAGUGCGAAAUAAGUAUAAAGGCAGUGUUAAAAUUAAUAUUUUAUAAAAAAUUAUACUGACGGUACAAGGAAAUACAAAAUGCCACGCGGCAAACCAUUAACCCUUGAGGAAAGGGGAAAAUUGAAACGUAUCAUGAAGAAAGACGGUCGAAUCGCGAUAUUGCGAGGCGGUUAAACAGAUCUAGCUGUGUCAUCGACAACUUCAUAAAAAUGGGUCAUCUAUAUGGGAAAAAAAGUGACCAGGACGGACAUCAAGGAUCGACAACAGGACGAAAAGGGAGAUUUCCAGGCUUGCAGUGAAGGAAAACUUAAGCGCAAAAGAGAUAUUUGGAGACACGUGUGGAGAAUUUAUCUACUGCUGUUAGAACUAUUUUUUUUUCCGUACUGUAAAUAUCUGUGUAUAUGCACAAUUUUUCCAGGGUAUUGAGGUAUUGGGGUUUCUAAUAGUUGCGGUUUAUUACGGUUGCGAUCAUACUUGUUUUCCUUGCAGACUCUACACUGUUUAAUUAUAUUUUCUAUUUUUGCUUUCAUCUUUGGGAAGUAACAUCUUUGUA